UACGUAGGGGGCAAGCGUUAUCCGGAUUUACUGGGUGUAAAGGGAGCGUAGACGGGAUGGCAAGUCUGAAGUGAAAUCCUGCGGCUUAACCGCAGAAUUGCUUUGGAAACUGUCAACCUGGAGUGUCGGAGAGGUAAGCGGAAUUCCUAGUGUAGUAGUGAAAUGCGUAGAGAUUAGGAAGAACACCGGAGGCGAAGGCGGCUUACUGGACGAUAACUGACGUUGAGGCUCGAAAGCGUGGGGAGCAAAC
RNAcentral lists this ribosomal RNA (250 nucleotides) under uncultured prokaryote. Its description in RNAcentral is "partial 16S ribosomal RNA". It matches the Rfam family "Bacterial small subunit ribosomal RNA", at positions 524 to 773 of the family's 1533-position model. The record is from RNAcentral.